This is a long non-coding RNA of Amphimedon queenslandica, 364 nucleotides long. RefSeq lists it as uncharacterized. The transcript is spliced from 3 exons. The record is from RefSeq and is a predicted model, not a curated record. Lineage: Eukaryota; Metazoa; Porifera; Demospongiae; Haplosclerida; Niphatidae.
ACUCCUGAAGUGGGUGUGGUUCCUGAGACUAUUAAAGAUCAUGAUAUAGUUCUACAAGAUAAUUCAAGUACUGCCAAUGAAACCGAUGCAGCUCAAUCUGGUAUGUACCGUAUAUUGGGUAUAUUUCAAUGCAUGGAAAGUGGUGUAAAUGUAAAGUUCAAUGAUGGAUAAAUUCGGAAGCCCUUUAUAUUCCAAAAAUAUUUUACUUGCUAUUAUUUCCAUGAACCACCUGGCCUGCAACACUUCUGACUGGCAAAGAAGGCUCUUUAUGGCCUUCGAGUUAGAAGCCAUGAAGCCAUGGAUAGUUAAAAAGUCAUGUGUUCAUAUUAAUUGCACAAUACCACAUAUCUUCUAUUUCUUUUUA